AGCGAACGCUGGCGGCAGGCCUAACACAUGCAAGUCGAACGCGUGUAGCAAUACACGAGUGGCAGACGGGUGAGUAACACGUGGGAACGUGCCCUUCGGUUCGGAAUAACUCAGGGAAACUUGAGCUAAUACCGGAUACGCCCUUACGGGGAAAGAUUUAUCGCCGAAGGAUCGGCCCGCGUCUGAUUAGCUAGUUGGUGAGGUAACGGCUCACCAAGGCGACGAUCAGUAGCUGGCUGAGAGGAUGAUCAGCCACACUGGGACUGAGACACGGCCCAGACUCCUACGGGAGGCAGCAGUGGGGAAUAUUGGACAAUGGGGAAACCCUGAUCCAGCCAUGCCGCGUGAGUGAUGAAGGCCCUAGGGUU
This 368-nucleotide ribosomal RNA is filed under the name uncultured bacterium. RNAcentral describes it as "bacterial SSU rRNA". It matches the Rfam family "Bacterial small subunit ribosomal RNA", at positions 29 to 424 of the family's 1533-position model. The record is from RNAcentral.